GAUGAACGUUGGCGGCGUGCCUAAUACAUGCAAGUCGAGCGAAUGGAUUAAGAGCUUGCUCUUAUGAAGUUAGCGGCGGACGGGUGAGUAACACGUGGGUAACCUGCCCAUAAGACUGGGAUAACUCCGGGAAACCGGGGCUAAUACCGGAUAACAUUUUGAACCGCAUGGUUCGAAAUUGAAAGGCGGCUUCGGCUGUCACUUAUGGAUGGACCCGCGCCGCAUUAGCUAGUUGGUGAGGUAACGGCUCACCAAGGCAACGAUGCGUAGCCGACCUGGGAGGGUGAUCGGCCACACUGGGACUGAGACACGGCCCAGACUCCUACGGGAGGCAGCAGUAGGGAAUCUUCCGCAAUGGACGAAAGUCUGACGGAGCAACGCCGCGUGAGUGAUGAAGGCUUUCGGGUCGUAAAACUCUGUUGUUAGGGAAGAACAAGUGCUAGUUGAAUAAGCUGGCACCUUGACGGUACCUAACCAGAAAGCCACGGCUAACUACGUGCCAGCCGCCGCUGUAA
Molecule: ribosomal RNA, 515 nt
Filed under: uncultured bacterium
Lineage: Bacteria
Description: partial 16S ribosomal RNA
Rfam family: Bacterial small subunit ribosomal RNA
Source: RNAcentral